RNAcentral lists this ribosomal RNA (253 nucleotides) under uncultured bacterium. RNAcentral's name for it is "partial 16S ribosomal RNA". It matches the Rfam family "Bacterial small subunit ribosomal RNA", at positions 524 to 776 of the family's 1533-position model. The record is from RNAcentral.
UACGUAGGGGGCUAGCGUUGUCCGGAUUUAUUGGGCGUAAAGAGCGUGUAGGCGGCCAGGUAGGUCUGCUGUGAAAACUCGAGGCUCAACCUCGAGACGUCGGCGGAAACCAUCUGGCUAGAGUCCGGAAGAGGAGAGUGGAAUUCCUGGUGUAGCGGUGAAAUGCGUAGAUAUCAGGAGGAACACCGGUGGCGAAGGCGCUCAUCUGGCCCAAUACUGACGCUGAGGCGCGAAAGCUAGGGGAGCAAACGGG